GCUCAACCGGGGAGGGUCAUUAGAAACUGGGGAACUUGAGUGCAGAAGAGGAGAGUGGAAUUCCACGUGUAGCGGUGAAAUGCGUAGAGAUGUGGAGGAACACCAGUGGCGAAGGCGACUCUCUGGUCUGUAACUGACGCUGAGGCGCGAAAGCGUGGGGAGCGAACAGGAUUAGAUACCCUGGUAGUCCACGCCGUAAACGAUGAGUGCUAAGUGUUAGAGGGUUUCCGCCCUUUAGUGCUGCAGCAAACGCAUUAAGCACUCCGCCUGGGGAGUACGGUCGCAAGACUGAAACUCAAAGGAAUUGACGGGGGCCCGCACAAGCGGUGGAGCAUGUGGUUUAAUUCGAAGCAACGCGAAGAACCUUACCAGGUCUUGACAUCCUCUGACAACCCUAGAGAUAGGGCUUCCCCUUCGGGGGCAGAGUGACAGGUGGUGCAUGGUUGUCGUCAGCUCGUGUCGUGAGAUGUUGGGUUAAGUCCCGCAACGAGCGCAACCCUUGAUCUUAGUUGCCAGCAUUCAGUUGGGCACUCUAAGGUGACUGCCGGUGACAAACCGGAGGAAGGUGGGGAUGACGUCAAAUCAUCAUGCCCCUUAUGACCUGGGCUACACACGUGCUACAAUGGGCAGAACAAAG
RNAcentral lists this ribosomal RNA (637 nucleotides) under uncultured bacterium. Its description in RNAcentral is "bacterial SSU rRNA". It matches the Rfam family "Bacterial small subunit ribosomal RNA", at positions 607 to 1244 of the family's 1533-position model. The record is from RNAcentral.